AACAUCUGACAGUUUUCCUUUAAAAUUUUUCACAUGACUCUGCCAUCACUAUGAAAAUUUAAAAAAAAUACAUACUCAUCAACCUCGCUCCCCCAUUACAUCUUCCAGCUCCCUGCUUGAUACUUGUCUUGGCAGUGAUGGCCUGAUCAGUCAAUGACUGACUAAGGCAGGACCCCACUGUAGUAAGUCAUUGGCCAUCACUAAGUGGGCCAUCACUGCCAAGGCAAGUCUGUUUCAGAAGUAGCUAACAAAGAGAGGUGCGGGAAGCCAGAAGACUUCACAGAGGAGCGAGGUAGGUAAAUAUGCAUUUUUUAAUAGCAGCUGCAGCACUAUCUAAAAAUUUUCUAUAAGGGUUAUGUUUACAUAAUGUGAAUCUGCUGCAGAUUUUCUGUAAUUAUGUUUAAAUAAAUUUUUAAUUUUGAUGCAGAAACACUCCAGAUUUUCUGCAAUUUAUUCGGAGCAGAUACGCAGUGUGUGAACAUAUUCUUCAAGGAAUUUGCCAAAAUUGCAAACGUUAAAGGAAAAGGGUCAUCCAGUGUAUUGGGUUUAGUGUGGGUGAACAGGAUGACCGUUUUCCUUUUAAUGAUUUCAGACAUUUACAGUGACAAUCACACAUUUACAUUUAUUGUGCAUGGGUUGUAUAACAAUUGGAAAGCAGCUAUCUUCGCCACUAUACCGUACAUCCAACAAAUAAUGCCCAAUAUUCAGCGUUGCCUUGGCAACUGUACCAAAAAGUAGUCAUUGUGCCUCUCCACACCUGAUAUCAAAUUAAUCAAGAUAGUCAGCCCACACAACUUGUUUAACUAGUGAGUACCCCCCACCCCCACACUCUCUGGUGCCAGCCAGAGAGUACCACUAUAAUAGACGAAGGUGUCCCUGUUAAGAAUACUAAGCACAGUGUACCUCCAGUGUUAGACUUCCCCCCCAUAAUCAGUUAUAAACAGUAGAAACUGCAGCGCCAGCCAAAGGAUGUCCCUAUAAAGGGGCAGUGUAUAGCCUGACCUUAUAAAGAGUAUCAAGAAAAGAAGACCCUCUAUAAUGGUACAGAUCAGUCAUGCACUAACCAGUAUGGGUUGAUCAGACCAGUUACACCACAGGCAAAGGCCAAGGGAAACCCAAUCCCUUGACGUCAGUGAGAAGCUGAGCACCAUGUACGCAGAUUUCAACCUAAUAAUCGCCGCUCUCUGUAUACACUGGGUACAAUGAAAUCCCAAGACUAUCAAAGGUAUUCUGGGUGGAAAUGUCCUGCCCGGUGUUAGGAAGCUUGGUCACAGAUCAUGGAUCCUCCAAGAGGAUAAUGGCCCAAAACACACAGCUACUAAUAACACCCAAGAAUGGCCAAGAGCAAAACAUUGGACAAUUGUAACGUGGCCUCUAUGAGCCCUGAUCUAUUGAACAUCUGUGGAAGGAGCUGAACCCUGCUGUAUGGAGAAGACACCUUCACACUUGAGACAGCUGAAGCAGUAUGUUAUGAGAAAAACAUUAAGGGUGUAUUCCGGGAUUUUUUUUAUUAUUAUUAUUUGACUAUUAUAUACACAAUAGUACUUUUUGCUAUUCAAUUUAUUCAUGUUUGUUUUCUCAUUCUUUCCCCAUACACGGUCAUAUAUUAUUCUUAGACACCAUUUUAGUUUGUAGUCAAUACUGUAUUUGUGUCUAUUUACCUUCCUGAUACUUGAAGUUUAUAUCUCAUGUUAUUAUACUGCUUUUUACCUGUAAGGGGUUAAUUCCUGCCGGUCACAUGACCUGUGACUGGCCGCAAUGACCUCACUGCCUAUAUAAACCGACAUGUAACAUGCAUUUGUUGUAUGACUAAGAGCGCUUAUAGCGCUUGAAACGCGUUACUUGUUCCUUCCUUGUCCUAUGAAUUAAACCUGAUUUUACCUGCAUUGAGCUGGAUCCGAUCUCCUUCAUUUUCUUAUUAUUUGACUAUG
Molecule: long non-coding RNA, 1931 nt
Organism: Hyla sarda
Lineage: Eukaryota; Metazoa; Chordata; Amphibia; Anura; Hylidae
Exons: 3
Source: RefSeq, a predicted model, not a curated record